Ovis aries (sheep) is the source of this 72-nucleotide transfer RNA. It matches the Rfam family "tRNA". From Rfam's summary of the family: Transfer RNA (tRNA) molecules are approximately 80 nucleotides in length. Their secondary structure includes four short double-helical elements and three loops (D, anti-codon, and T loops). The record is from Rfam. NCBI's taxonomy places the organism in Eukaryota, Metazoa, Chordata, Mammalia, Artiodactyla, Bovidae.
UCCCUGGUGGCUCAGACGGUAAAGCGUCUGUCUACCAUGCGGGAGACCCGGGUUCGAUCCCUGGGUCGGGAA